CGAUGCGAAGAUAGCCAUGCAUGUCUAGUACAUGCCGUAUUAAGGCGAAACCGCGAAUGGCUCAUUAAAUCAGUUAUGGUUCCUUGGAUCGUACCUUACUACUUGGAUAACUGUGGUAAUUCUAGAGCUAAUACAUGCAGCAGAGCUCCGACCUUCGGGGACGAGCGCUUUUAUUAGACCAAAACCAAUCGGACUCCGUCCGUCUCUCGUGGUGACUCUGAAUAACUUUGGGCUGAUCGCACGGGCCCGUCCCGGCGACGUAUCUUUCAAGUGUCUGCCUUAUCAACUUUCGAUGGUAGGUUACGCGCCUACCAUGGUCGUAACGGGUAACGGGGAAUCAGGGUUCGAUUCCGGAGAGGGAGCCUGAGAAACGGCUACCACAUCCAAGGAAGGCAGCAGGCGCGCAAAUUACCCACUCCCAGAACGGGGAGGUAGUGACGAAAAAUAACAAUACGGGACUCUUUUGAGACCCCGUAAUUGGAAUGAGUACACUCUAAAUCCUUUAACGAGGAUCCAUUGGAGGGCAAGUCUGGUGCCAGCCGCCGCGGUAACUCCAGCUCCAAUAGCGUAUAUUAAAGUUGUUGCGGUUAAAAAGCUCGUAGUUGGAUCUCAGUUCCAGACGGGUGGUCCGCCUAACGGUGGCUACUGCCUGUUCUGAACAGCCAGCCGGUUUCUCUUGAUGAUCUUCACCGGUUGUCUUGGGUGACCGGCAAGUUUACUUUGAAAAAAUUAGAGUGCUCAAAGCAGGCGCGACGCCUGAAUAAUGGUGCAUGGAAUAAUGGAAUAGGACCUCGGUUCUAUUUUGUUGGUUUUCGGAACACGAGGUAAUGAUUAAGAGGGACAGACGGGGGCAUUCGUAUUGCGACGCUAGAGGUGAAUUCUUGGACCGUCGCAGACGAUNNNANNUUUUUUUU
RNAcentral lists this ribosomal RNA (914 nucleotides) under Hakka himeshimensis. RNAcentral describes it as "SSU rRNA". It matches the Rfam family "Eukaryotic small subunit ribosomal RNA", at positions 33 to 956 of the family's 1831-position model. Lineage: Eukaryota; Metazoa; Arthropoda; Arachnida; Araneae; Salticidae. The record is from RNAcentral.